RNAcentral lists this ribosomal RNA (497 nucleotides) under uncultured bacterium. Its description in RNAcentral is "partial 16S ribosomal RNA". It matches the Rfam family "Bacterial small subunit ribosomal RNA", at positions 28 to 507 of the family's 1533-position model. The record is from RNAcentral.
GACGAACGCUGGCGGCGUGCCUAAUACAUGCAAGUAGAACGCUGAAGAGAGGAGCUUGCUCUUCUUGGAUGAGUUGCGAACGGGUGAGUAACGCGUAGGUAACCUGCCUUGUAGCGGGGGAUAACUAUUGGAAACGAUAGCUAAUACCGCAUAACAAUGGAUGACACAUGUCAUUUAUUUGAAAGGGGCAAUUGCUCCACUACAAGAUGGACCUGCGUUGUAUUAGCUAGUAGGUGAGGUAAUGGCUCACCUAGGCGACGAUACAUAGCCGACCUGAGAGGGGGAUCGGCCACACUGGGACUGAGACACGGCCCAGACUCCUACGGGAGGCAGCAGGAGGGAAUCUUCGGCAAUGGGGGCAACCCUGACCGAGCAACGCCGCGUGAGUGAAGAAGGUUGUCGGAUCGUAAAGCUCUGUUGUAAGUCAAGAACGGGUGUGAGAGUGGAAAGUUCACACUGUGACGGUAGCUUACCAGAAAGGGACGGCUAACUACGUG